Molecule: non-coding RNA, 132 nt
Organism: Triticum aestivum (bread wheat)
Lineage: Eukaryota; Viridiplantae; Streptophyta; Magnoliopsida; Poales; Poaceae
Source: Rfam
UGAAUACUUCCUCCGUCCGAAAAUACUUGUCAUCAAAAUGGAUAAAAAGGGAUGUAUCUAGAACUAAAAUACAUCUAGAUACAUCCUCUUUUAUUCAUUUUGACAAGUAUUUCCGGACGGAAGGAGUAUGAC